RNAcentral lists this ribosomal RNA (521 nucleotides) under uncultured Rhizobacter sp. RNAcentral describes it as "bacterial SSU rRNA". It matches the Rfam family "Bacterial small subunit ribosomal RNA", at positions 1 to 526 of the family's 1533-position model. The record is from RNAcentral. Lineage: Bacteria; Pseudomonadati; Pseudomonadota; Betaproteobacteria; Burkholderiales; Sphaerotilaceae.
UAGAGUUUGAUUAUGGCUCAGAUUGAACGCUGGCGGCAUGCCUUACACAUGCAAGUCGAACGGCAGCGCGGGAGCAAUCCUGGCGGCGAGUGGCGAACGGGUGAGUAAUAUAUCGGAACGUGCCCAGUAGUGGGGGAUAGCCCGGCGAAAGCCGGAUUAAUACCGCAUACGACCUACGGGUGAAAGGGGGGUAUCGCAAGACCUCUCGCUAUUGGAGCGGCCGAUAUCAGAUUAGGUAGUUGGUGGGGUAAAAGCCUACCAAGCCGACGAUCUGUAGUGGUCUGAGAGGACGACCAGCCACACUGGGACUGAGACACGGCCCAGAUUCCUACGGGAGGCAGCAGUGGGGAAUAUUGGACAAUGGGCGAAAGCCUGAUCCAGCCAUGCCGCGUGUGUGAAGAAGGUCUUCGGAUUGUAAAGCACUUUAAGUUGGGAGGAAGGGUUGUAGAUUAAUCUCUGCAAUUUUGACGUUACCGACAGAAUAAGCACCGGCUAACUCUGUGCCAGCAGCCGCGGAAUAC